UUAGGGCCAUUCGAAGAUGCCUUCGGCAGACAGCGGAGGCUGGGGAUUUAGAUGCCCUUUCGGCUUUCCCCAUUAUAGUCAAGGGUCAAAGAAACUGAAAAAAUCCAGCAUUCAGAACCUUGGAAAUAUUUAGGCUAUAUCCUUUUUAAUAGGACAAUUCAGCCCCAAGUCCUUCAAAUUAAUCCACCCAAAGAUUUGAUUCUUAACUGCC
Molecule: long non-coding RNA, 211 nt
Organism: Phyllostomus discolor (pale spear-nosed bat)
Lineage: Eukaryota; Metazoa; Chordata; Mammalia; Chiroptera; Phyllostomidae
Exons: 3
Source: RefSeq, a predicted model, not a curated record